RNAcentral lists this ribosomal RNA (292 nucleotides) under uncultured bacterium. Its description in RNAcentral is "partial 16S ribosomal RNA". It matches the Rfam family "Bacterial small subunit ribosomal RNA", at positions 505 to 796 of the family's 1533-position model. The record is from RNAcentral.
GUGCCAGCAGCCGCGGUAAUACGAAGGGGGCUAGCGUUGCUCGGAAUGACUGGGCGUAAAGGGCGCGUAGGCGGAUGGCACAGUCAGAUGUGAAAUUCCCGGGCUUAACCUGGGGGCUGCAUUUGAUACGUGUUGUCUAGAGUGAGGAAGAGGGUUGUGGAAUUCCCAGUGUAGAGGUGAAAUUCGUAGAUAUUGGGAAGAACACCGGUGGCGAAGGCGGCAACCUGGUCCUUGACUGACGCUGAGGCGCGAAAGCGUGGGGAGCAAACAGGAUUAGAUACCCUGGUAGUCC